This 2333-nucleotide ribosomal RNA is filed under the name Terrihalobacillus insolitus. Its description in RNAcentral is "partial 23S ribosomal RNA". It matches the Rfam family "Bacterial large subunit ribosomal RNA", at positions 309 to 2653 of the family's 2925-position model. The record is from RNAcentral. Lineage: Bacteria; Bacillati; Bacillota; Bacilli; Caryophanales; Bacillaceae.
UGGAGUUACAAAGAAACCAUGUAGAUGAAUUGAUCUGGAACGAUCAGCCAAAGAAGGUAAGAGCCCUGUAAUCGAAAGAUGGUUUCCUCCGGAGUGGAUCCUGAGUACGGCGGAACACGUGAAAUUCCGUCGGAAUCCGGGAGGACCAUCUCCCAAGGCUAAAUACUUCCUAGUGACCGAUAGUGAACCAGUACCGUGAGGGAAAGGUGAAAAGCACCCCGGAAGGGGAGUGAAAGAGAUCCUGAAACCGUGUGCCUACAAGUAGUCGAAGCCCGUUAAUGGGUAACGGCGUACCUUUUGUAGAAUGGACCGGCGAGUUACGAUCUCCUGCAAGGUUAAGUUGUAUAGACGGAGCCGCAGCGAAAGCGAGUCUUAAAUAGGGCGAAGUAGUAGGGGGUCGUAGACCCGAAACCGUGUGAUCUACCCAUGUCCAGGGUGAAGGUCAGGUAACACUGACUGGAGGCCCGAACCCACGCGUGUUGAAAAACGCGGGGAUGAGGUGUGGGUAGGGGUGAAAUGCCAAUCGAACACGGAAAUAGCUGGUUCUCUCCGAAAUAGCUUUAGGGCUAGCCUCAAGCGAUGUGUACUGGAGGUAGAGCACUGAUUGAACUAGGGGCCCUCACCGGGUUACCGAAUUCAGUCAAACUCCGAAUGCCAGCUAUGCAAGCUUGGGAGUCAGACUAUGGGUGAUAAGGUUCAUAGUCGAAAGGGAAACAGCCCAGACCGCCAGCUAAGGUCCCAAAGUAUACGUUAAGUGGAAAAGGAUGUGGAGUUGCUUAGACAACCAGGAUGUUGGCUUAGAAGCAGCCAUCAUUUAAAGAGUGCGUAAUAGCUCACUGGUCGAGUGACUCCGCGCCGAAAAUAUACCGGGGCUAAACGUAUCACCGAAGCUGCGGAUUGUUCUUACGAACAAUGGUAGGAGAGCGUUCUAAGUGCCGUGAAGUCAGACCGUGAGGACUGGUGGAGCGCUUAGAAGUGAGAAUGCCGGUAUGAGUAGCGAAAUAGAAGUGAGAAUCUUCUACACCGAAUGCCUAAGGUUUCCUGAGGAAGGCUCGUCCGCUCAGGGUUAGUCGGGACCUAAGCCGAGGCCGAAAGGCGUAGGCGAUGGACAACAGGUGGAUAUUCCUGUACCACCUCAUGACCGUUUGAACGAUGGGGGGACGCAGUAGGAUAAGGAAAGCGCACAAUUGGAUGUGCGCCCAAGCAGUGAGUGAGUCAGAUAGGCAAAUCCGUCUGGCAAUCACAAGCUGUGAUGGGGAGGGAACAAAAGUACCGAAGUUCCUGAUUUCACACUGCCAAGAAAAGCCUCUAGUAAGGUCAUAGGUGCCCGUACCGCAAACCGACACAGGUAGGCGAGGAGAGAAUCCUAAGGUGAUCGGGAGAACUCUCGUUAAGGAACUCGGCAAAAUGACCCCGUAACUUCGGGAGAAGGGGUGCUUCUUUUGAACGAGAAGCCGCAGUGAAAAGGCCCAAGCGACUGUUUAGCAAAAACACAGGUCUCUGCGAAGCCGAAAGGCGAAGUAUAGGGGCUGACACCUGCCCGGUGCUGGAAGGUUAAGGGGAUGCGUUAGCCAUAUGGCGAAGCGUUGAACCGAAGCCCCAGUAAACGGCGGCCGUAACUAUAACGGUCCUAAGGUAGCGAAAUUCCUUGUCGGGUAAGUUCCGACCCGCACGAAAGGUGCAACGACUUGGGCACUGUCUCAACGAGAGACCCGGUGAAAUUAUACGAUGCGUGAAGAUGCGCAUUACCCGCGACAGGACGGAAAGACCCCGUGGAGCUUUACUGUAGCCUGAUAUUGCAUGUUGGUACAGCUUGUACAGGAUAGGUGGGAGCCUGAGACUCGUGAGCGCUAGCUUACGAUGAGGCGUCGGUGGGAUACCACCCUGGCUGUACGGACAUUCUAACCCAGAACCGUGAUCCGGUUCGGAGACAGUGUCAGGUGGGCAGUUUGACUGGGGCGGUCGCCUCCUAAAGAGUAACGGAGGCGCCCAAAGGUUCCCUCAGAAUGGUUGGAAAUCAUUCGCAGAGUGUAAAGGCAGAAGGGAGCUUGACUGCGAGACCUACAAGUCGAGCAGGGACGAAAGUCGGGCUUAGUGAUCCGGCGGUACCGAAUGGAAGGGCCGUCGCUCAACGGAUAAAAGCUACCCCGGGGAUAACAGGCUUAUCUCCCCCAAGAGUCCACAUCGACGGGGAGGUUUGGCACCUCGAUGUCGGCUCAUCGCAUCCUGGGGCUGUAGUCGGUCCCAAGGGUUGGGCUGUUCGCCCAUUAAAGCGGUACGCGAGCUGGGUUCAGAACGUCGUGAGACAGUUCGGUCCCUAUCCGUCGUGGGCG